AGGAGGAGAUUUGUAUUUGUAGACGGGUGGUGGGGGUGGUGGAGACUUGUAGUGGUACGGUGGGUGAUAUGGUUUUUUGUAUGGUGGUGGCGGAGGAGGAGAUUUGUAUUUGUAGACAGGAGGUGGAGGUGGUGGAGACUUAUAGUGGUACGGUGGGUGAUAUGGUUUUUUGUGUGGUGGUGGUGGGGGGGGAGAUUUGUAUUUGUAUACUGGUGGUGGUGGAGAUUUGUACUUGUAAAUGGGUGUAGGUGGGUGGUAUGGCUUCUUAUAUGGUGGUGGAGGAGGUGGUGACUUGUAUUUGUAGACGGGUGGUGGUGGAGACUUGUACUUGUAAACUGGUGUAGGUGGGUGGUAUGGCUUCUUGUAGGGUGGUGGUGGAGGUGGUGACUUGUAUUUAUAAAUCGGUGGUGGCGGAGAUUUGUAUUUGUAAAUGGGUGUUGGUGGGUGGUAUGGCUUCUUGUAAGGUGGUGGUGGCGGAGGUGACUUGUACUUAUAGACGGGUGGUGGUGGAGAUUUGUACUUAUAAAUGGGUGUGGGGGGAUGAUAUGGCUUCUUGUAGGGUG
This 563-nucleotide long non-coding RNA is filed under the name Cucumis sativus (cucumber). Its description in RNAcentral is "long non-coding RNA (CSAT_LNC002832)". Lineage: Eukaryota; Viridiplantae; Streptophyta; Magnoliopsida; Cucurbitales; Cucurbitaceae. The record is from RNAcentral.